RNAcentral lists this ribosomal RNA (252 nucleotides) under uncultured Anaerovorax sp. RNAcentral's name for it is "partial 16S ribosomal RNA". It matches the Rfam family "Bacterial small subunit ribosomal RNA", at positions 524 to 776 of the family's 1533-position model. The record is from RNAcentral. Lineage: Bacteria; Bacillati; Bacillota; Clostridia; Peptostreptococcales; Anaerovoracaceae.
UACGUAGGGGGCGAGCGUUAUCCGGAAUUAUUGGGCGUAAAGGGUGCGUAGGUGGUCUGAUAAGCGUGGGGUGAAAGGCAAUAGCUUAUCUAUUGUAAGCCUUGCGAACUGUCAGACUUGAGUGCAGGAGAGGAAAGUGGAAUUCCUAGUGUAGCGGUGAAAUGCGUAGAUAUUAGGAGGAACACCAGUGGCGAAGGCGACUUUCUGGACUGUAACUGACACUGAGGCACGAAAGCGUGGGGAGCAAACAGG